Molecule: ribosomal RNA, 401 nt
Filed under: uncultured microorganism
Description: bacterial SSU rRNA
Rfam family: Bacterial small subunit ribosomal RNA
Source: RNAcentral
GAGUUUUGAUCAUGGCUCAGAUUGAACGCUGGCGGCAUGCCUUACACAUGCAAGUCGAACGGCAGCAUGAUCUAGCUUGCUAGAUUGAUGGCGAGUGGCGAACGGGUGAGUAAUACAUCGGAACGUGCCCUGUAGUGGGGAUAACUAGUCGAAAGAUUAGCUAAUACCGCAUACGACCUGAGGGUGAAAGUGGGGGACCGCAAGGCCUCAUGCUAUAGGAGCGGCCGAUGUCUGAUUAGCUAGUUGGUGGGUAAAGGCCCACCAAGGCGACGAUCAGUAGCUGGUCUGAGAGGACGGUCAGCCACACUGGGACUGAGACACGGCCCAGACUCCUACGGGAGGCAGCAGUGGGGAAUUUUGGACAAUGGGCGAAAGCCUGAUCCAGCAAUGCCGCGUGUGUG